This 376-nucleotide unclassified non-coding RNA is filed under the name uncultured bacterium. Its description in RNAcentral is "contains 16S-23S intergenic spacer region". The record is from RNAcentral.
UCCGGCUUAUCACCGGCGGUUUCUUUAGAGUGCCCAACUAAAUGAUGGCAACUAAAGACGAGGGUUGCGCUCGUUGCGGGACUUAACCCAACAUCUCACGACACGAGCUGACGACGGCCAUGCAGCACCUGUGCUAGAGUCCCGAAGGAGGCCUCCGCUUUCACGGAGCUUUCUCUAGCAUGUCAAGCCCAGGUAAGGUUCUUCGCGUUGCUUCGAAUUAAGCCACAUGCUCCGCCGCUUGUGCGGGCCCCCGUCAAUUCCUUUGAGUUUUAGCCUUGCGGCCGUACUCCCCAGGCGGUCAACUUCACGCGUUAGCUUCGUUACCAAGGAAUUGCUUCCCCGACAACCAGUUGACAUAGUUUAGGGCGUGGACUAC